GUCUAUGGCGACACCACCCUAAACUCACCCAAUCUCAUCUGAUCUCAGAAGCUAAGCAAGAUCAGCCCUGGUUAGUACUUGGAUGGGAGUAACGUUCGUAGUUAUCAUUA
Bison bison bison is the source of this 110-nucleotide ribosomal RNA. The record is from Ensembl. Lineage: Eukaryota; Metazoa; Chordata; Mammalia; Artiodactyla; Bovidae.